UAGCGGAGAGUCUCUUCCCGAUA
Molecule: non-coding RNA, 23 nt
Filed under: Arabidopsis thaliana (thale cress)
Lineage: Eukaryota; Viridiplantae; Streptophyta; Magnoliopsida; Brassicales; Brassicaceae
Source: RNAcentral